This 504-nucleotide ribosomal RNA is filed under the name uncultured bacterium. Its description in RNAcentral is "bacterial SSU rRNA". It matches the Rfam family "Bacterial small subunit ribosomal RNA", at positions 8 to 526 of the family's 1533-position model. The record is from RNAcentral.
AGAGUUUGAUCCUGGCUCAGAAUGAACGUUGGCGGCGUGGAUUAGGCAUGCAAGUCGAGCGCGAACCCCGCAAGGGGUGAAAGCGGCGAAAGGGACAGUAAUACGUAGAUUAUCUGCCCUCGGGACCGGGAUAGCUGCGGGAAACUGCAGGUAAUACCGGAUAACAUCUCCGGAUCAAAGGUGUGAUUCCGCCUGAGGAUGAGUCUGCGUCCUAUUAGCUUGUUGGUAGGGUAACGGCCUACCAAGGCAAUGAUGGGUAGCGGGUGUGAGAGCACGACCCGCGUCACUGGGACUGAGACACUGCCCAGACACCUACGGGUGGCUGCAGUCGAGGAUCUUCGGCAAUGGGCGCAAGCCUGACCGAGCGACGCCGCGUGCGGGAUGAAGGCUUUCGGGUUGUAAACCGCUGUCAGAUGGGAUGAAAUGUAGGUGGGUUCUCCCAUCUAUUUGACAUAUCCUCAGAGGAAGUACGGGCUAAGUUCGUGCCAGCAGCCGCGGUAAUAC